This 332-nucleotide ribosomal RNA is filed under the name uncultured Chondromyces sp. RNAcentral's name for it is "bacterial SSU rRNA". It matches the Rfam family "Bacterial small subunit ribosomal RNA", at positions 568 to 898 of the family's 1533-position model. The record is from RNAcentral. Lineage: Bacteria; Pseudomonadati; Myxococcota; Polyangiales; Polyangiaceae.
CGUGUAGGCGGCUCGGCAAGUCGGGUGUGAAAGCCCUGGGCUUAACCUAGGAAGUGCACUCGAAACUGCCAAGCUUGAGUUCUGGAGAGGAAGGCGGAAUUCUCGGUGUAGAGGUGAAAUUCGUAGAUAUCGAGAGGAACACCGGUGGCGAAGGCGGCCUUCUGGACAGCAACUGACGCUGAGACGCGAAAGCGUGGGGAGCAAACAGGAUUAGAUACCCUGGUAGUCCACGCCGUAAACGAUGAGUGCUAGGUGUCGCGGGUUUUGACCCCUGCGGUGCCGUAGCUAACGCAUUAAGCACUCCGCCUGGGGAGUACGGCCGCAAGGCUAAA